Molecule: transfer RNA, 73 nt
Organism: Paramecium tetraurelia
Lineage: Eukaryota; Ciliophora; Oligohymenophorea; Peniculida; Parameciidae
Rfam family: tRNA
About the family: Transfer RNA (tRNA) molecules are approximately 80 nucleotides in length.
Source: Rfam
CAAUUUGUGGUGAUGUGGUUAACACGCCGGAUUCCAAAUCCGAAGGCCCGAGGUUCGACUCCUCGCAAAUUGC